GGAGAGGUCGCAUAGUUGGUAUUGCACCGGUCUCGAAAACCGGCGGGAGCUUGCUCCUUUGUGGGUUCGAAUCCCACCCUCUCCGCCA
RNAcentral lists this transfer RNA (88 nucleotides) under Candidatus Omnitrophota bacterium. RNAcentral's name for it is "tRNA-Ser". It matches the Rfam family "tRNA". From Rfam's summary of the family: Transfer RNA (tRNA) molecules are approximately 80 nucleotides in length. Their secondary structure includes four short double-helical elements and three loops (D, anti-codon, and T loops). Lineage: Bacteria; Pseudomonadati; Candidatus Omnitrophota. The record is from RNAcentral.